UGGGGGAUAUUGCACAAUGGGCGAAAGCCUGAUGCAGCGACGCCGCGUGGGGGAUGAAGGCCUUCGGGUUGUAAACUUCUUUUGCUCUGAACAAGGCAUGCUAAUGGGUGUGUUGAGUGUAGGGGUUGAUUAGCGCCGGCUAACUACGUGCCAGCAGCCGCGGUAAUACGUAGGGCGCGAACGUUGUCCGGAAUUAUUGGGCGUAAAGGGCUUGUAGGUGGCUGGUUGCGUCUGUCGUGAAAGCUCAUGGCUUAACUGUGGGUUUGCGGUGGGUACGGGCUGGCUUGAGUGCAGUAGGGGAGGCUGGAAUUCCUGGUGUGGCGGUGGAAUGCGCAGAUAUCAGGAGGAAUACCGGUGGCGAAGGCGUGUCUCUGGGCUGUUACUGACACUGAGGAGCGAAAGCAUGGGGAGCGAACAGG
This 419-nucleotide ribosomal RNA is filed under the name bacterium. RNAcentral's name for it is "partial 16S ribosomal RNA". It matches the Rfam family "Bacterial small subunit ribosomal RNA", at positions 355 to 776 of the family's 1533-position model. The record is from RNAcentral.